Molecule: RNA transcript, 5744 nt
Organism: Hippopotamus amphibius kiboko
Lineage: Eukaryota; Metazoa; Chordata; Mammalia; Artiodactyla; Hippopotamidae
Gene: ZNF8
Gene name: zinc finger protein 8
Exons: 5
Source: RefSeq, a predicted model, not a curated record
UGUCCGGCGGGCAGCGAGUCCCGCUGUCCUUGUUGCGGGUGCGGCUCUGGGAUUCAGGGUCGCUUCGGGCGCCUGUCCUCCACCUGUCGGCCCAGGAUGGACCCCGAGGAGGAAGCGGCGGCACUGGCGGUGGCUACGGGUCCGCCGGCGGAACGGUUCCAGGAGCCGGUGACUUUCCGGGACAUAGCUGUGGACUUCACCCAGGAGGAGUGGGGACAGCUGGGCCCUGCCCAGAGGACCCUGUACCGUGACGUGAUGCUGGAGACCUUCGGGCAUCUGCUCUCUGUGGGGCCUGAGCUUCCCAAACCUGAAGUCAUCUCCCAGCUGGAGCAAGGGGCUGAGCUGUGGGUGGCAGAGAGAGGAAUUGUCCAGGGCUGCUGCCCAGGCCGGGAGCCUGGACCUGAGGGCCGAGCGCCGCCCCAGGAGCAGGAGAAGGGGCGGGAAGGCUUCCUGGGGGAGGCGCUGUGUCUCGCCACACCGGGGGAAGACUGGGACCGUGAGGGCCGGGUACAGAAGCCCGAGAAGGACCAGGGCAAUCGGAGGCGCUUGGAUGUCAGCCUCAAGGAAGCACCGGUUCAAGAUGGACCCCAUGAAAGCCUCAGACUUGGGGAAAACUGUGUCCUGAGUCCAGACCUCAGUCCGCUCCUGGAGGUUUCCAGGACCGAGUGUCUGUUUGCCCCCGACUCACGGGAUACAAGCUGGGAGCGGAACCCGGGUGCUGUGGGUGAGCAGAUGCGCUCCGCGGGCAGACAGCCGCCUGACAGCGGCGACCGCAGCUGCUCUUCCGGUCAGGCCGCGCCGGAGCCGGAGCCGGAGCCGGAGCCUGCGCGCCCCCAGGUGCCCGACAAACCCUACAAGUGCGCGGACUGCGGCAAGUCCUUCAACCACAACGCGCACCUCACGGUGCACCGGCGCAUCCACACGGGCGAGCGGCCGUACGCGUGCAAGGAGUGCGGCAAGGCCUUCAGCCAGAACUCCUCGCUGGUGCAGCACGAGCGCAUCCACACGGGCCACAAGCCCUACAAGUGCGCCGACUGCGGCAAGUCCUUCUGCCACAGCACGCACCUCACGGUGCACCGGCGCAUCCACACCGGGGAGAAGCCCUACGCCUGCCAGGACUGCGGGCGGGCCUUCAACCAGAACUCGUCCCUGGGCCGCCACCGGCGCACGCACACUGGGGAGAAGCCGUUCGCCUGCAGCGUGUGCGGCAAGGCCUUCUCGCGCACCACGUGCCUGUUCCUGCACCUGAGGACGCACACGGCCGAGAGGCCCUACGAGUGCAGCCGCUGCGGCAAGGGCUUCCGGCACAGCUCCUCCCUGGCGCAGCACCAACGCAAGCACGCGGGCGAGGGGCCCUACGACUGUCGCCAGCGGCUGGCCUUCGAGCCCACGCCCGCAUGGCCGGAGCCCCUGACCCCCGGCGACGGGGCUCCCCGCAGCGACAGGCCCUUCAGGUGCGGCCAGUGCGGCAAGUGCUUCACGCAGAGCUCGCACCUCAUCCGGCACCAGAUAACGCACACCAGGGAGGGGGGCCGGGGCCGGGGCCGGGGACGACGGCGCCCGCAGCCCUGUGGCCGGAGCCCGCACCUCGGCCGGCACCAGCCCCGUCCCGCGGGCGAGAGCCCUGGGGCUGGGACGAAGGCGGGACAGCCUGCCGGCAGGGCACUGGCCCUGUUUGACAUCCAUGAAAUCAUGCAAGAGAAAAGCCCCGUGCACGUUAUUGGGGUGGAAGAGCCUUCUGUGGGCACGUCCGUGGUGUUUGACAUCAGAGAAUCCACAUAGGGGAGAGACUCUGCGGGUGACUUUUGAACCACAGGUACAGAAGUGGGGUAAGUCCACACAGUGUAUUUACAGAAGAGGGGCUGGGGAUGGAAAUGCUCUCUGAUUUCCUCAGGAAAUGAUGCUUCCCCAAACAGCUGAGAUCAGAGGUUCUCCAAUCUAUCAAGCCCAGUACCCUGAAAUGAAUUCACAGUCUUUUAUGUGUUGGGGGAAACAAUCAACAGGAUAACCUAAAUUUUGUCCCCAUCCCAAGCCUGCCCGUCAGACCCUCCUUGGCCUGGUGGAGUGACCUGAUUGGGCGUCAAGUCACCAGGCUGUGAGGAACGGCCGUGUGAAUGGUGUGACCCACUGUUCUAUUCUCAGAGUUCAUCAGCACCUUCUCCAGCACAGCUCCCCAUCUUUCUGGCGUCUCUGCUGGAAGACCUUUGGAAGACCUUUCUCCCAACUGUCAAUGCCCAGGAAAGCGAGAUGUGUGAGAAAAUGAUUUAUUUGUAUAUGAUGCAGGACAUUCUAACAUGACCAUUUUCACGUCCACAAUUGGAAACUUGGUCUGGAUCAUCUUUUUCCUUUCCUCCAACUUUAUUUCUGAGGAAAGCAAAGCCUUCUGACCUUAGCUAUGCUGUUCUUGACGUAAAGUAGAACAUUGUGUUCGAGGUGUGAUUCUUGGUAUCUCAUAGCAGAAAGGAUGCAAAAGCCAAGGAUUUAAGCCUGCCUGCUUUCUAACCUAGAAUGGAGAAGCAAAACGCCUGUCCCACCCGGACACUACAUCGUGUGCUCCAUUUAUACAGCACAGUUGCCUUUUUUUGUUUGCUUGCUGUUCCCACUGCAGUUGCGUUUUAGUGAUGUUUAAUACAAGCCAUACACAUCAUUAUGGAAGGAAGGAAGCUUGUAGAAAUUGUUCCUAAAAGUAUCCCACAGAAGGAAUGUUGGAUUGGCAGAGCGUUGAGUUGAAGGGAAGAAGUAUCACCCUGGAAGGACACAACGGCAGUUCCAGGAGCUGUGGCAGAGCGGCUGCACGCCGGGACUCCCGCUGCCAAGACGUGAUGCUCAAGUGCCAGAGCCCAUCGGAACUUUCUCGGCUCCGUUUCUCUUUAGGUGCUGUGAGUGUCACAGCCCAUGGCGUUUCCAUCAUGGCAGAGCUGGCCUCCAGGACGCUCAGAGCCACCUCACAGCUCAUUUCCAGAGGUUCCGCAAGACCCCUCAAAGCCUCGAGGUUGCCUCUCUGCGCUCACCUGUCCUCUGGGCUUGUCCUCACGGACUUCCCUUGUCAGCUGUCACCGUUACAGCGCCUCCAUCCUCACGCCGGCGCCACCUUCCACUUCAUUCUUAGCAAAUAACCUUCUAUUUCCAUGGCUCAGAAAAGGUGUGUUUUCAGACAGGCAGUGCCUCACAGUUCUGUGAGGCAGUGCCAUUUUACAUGUAAGAAAAAUACGGCACAGGACACAAGUAGCCGUCCCAAGGUCACACAGCUGGGAGGUGGAGGCAGAAUUGGAGGUCACCGCCCUGUUGACAGUGGCUUGAACAAAUCAGGCUUUGUUCGAAGGCCGCGUCUUCGGUGGCUCAGCCACAUCAGAGACAGUGUUUUCUCUCCCAGCCUGUCCCUGCUUGUCGCAGGGAGACUCCUGCAGCCCCAGCUGUUGUGUCCACAGUCAGGACCGGAGGAGGGGGCGGGGCAGGUCUACGCUCAUCUCUCCAGCGAGGCUGCAAAGGAAAGGCUCUCCCCGAAGCUUCCAGCCGAUGCCCGUUAGGUCUCACUGGCCAAGACUGGGUCACAGGCCCCUCCCUCCUCCCCCGCCCCGUGACGAGGGGGCUUGGAAACCUAGUGAUGAGCUUCUCUAACCCCUGAGGCUGAGACUGUACCAGAGAAAAGGUUUUGGGAAGCGGUACUGGAUAGGCAGCGGGCAGCCGCUGCACCUUUUCUCCUCCAGGCUCUUCUUGGAGGAGGUGCCACUUCCUGACCGGGGCCACCACCUCUCAGCACCGUCCCUUCAUCCCCAGGAUGGUCCAGCCUGCCGGCCGGUCCCCCUCCCUGCAGUGCUCGGUCCCCUGGCAUUCUGGAACUCCACACUCUUCCAGAUCUCUCCCACCUCUCGAGGGACUUCUUGCCACCCCCCCCCCCCCUUAAGUGUUGGAGUCCCUGCGCAUUGUCCCAGCAGCACAUCUUGUGUUCUGUAGGCUCCCAGGAUGUCUUCGUCCACACCCACGGCUUCGUGCUGCUCACUCCCAGCUCCACGUAGAUGCCCCACACACUCUGAGCACACAGCCUACCUGAAGGGAAAGGCCACUUUCCGAUCCAGACCUGUUCCUCCUCCCCGGGUCCCUUUGACGGGGCUUGUUGCCACCCGCCACCCCAUCAAGCCAGAAGACAGAUAUCCUGUUGGUUUUACCAUCUACACAUUUCAUCUGUCUCACAUCCCACUGCCACCACUGGUGCAGGACGGCCGCCAGAGGGCAAGUAACACGACAGCGAGUGGCCUGGCCACCAGAGCCCGCCCCGCUUUUCGCUUUACCUCCUCACUGCCCCAUGAGUGGCGUGGGGUGCAGACUCAGAAGGCUCCCACUGCCAGUGUGCUCUAGGGAGGGAGACCCAGUGGUAACUUCCCCUCUGUGGACAGGUUGGAAACCAGGCCUACAAUUGUUCUGUACCCUCCACCUUGGCCCCCAAAAUGGCAGCUGCCAAAGGGUCAUGUUUCCACAGUUCUCAGAAUGGACACUGGGUGGGCUGAGGCUACAGUGGAUUCACUGGGUAAACUGGGGACAAGCUUGUCACUGUCACCAUUUGCUGCCCUCUCGCGUGCACUGCAGGUCUUUGGGAAUUUUCCAUUUUUCUUUUCAGGUCGUGUUUUCCAGGCAUCAUAUUCCUAUUAAUUCCUUACAGAUACUUUGAAACAAAGUCAGAUAGGAAACUCCUCAGGGGAAAUUACUAUAAACUAGGGAAAAUAUAUGGUUUUAUCAGUUUAUCAGAGUAAUGCAAAUUCUUUGUAGCAAAACAUGGAAAAUGCACAAAAGUAAAAUACACAGAAGUAUGAAGGUUUACUUAAAAUUUAAUUCCUCAUACUUCCACCAUCCAGAGAUGGUUAUUACCUUAAGAUUUUGUUAAUUUUCCUUGUAAUUUUUUCUUGCAAUAUACAUGUGUGUAUACAUAGAGUGAACACAAUCUUAUACACACAACAAAAAUAUGUAUAGUUAUCUUGUGUUUAGAAAAUUGGAAUCCUUCUACUUCUCUUGUAACAUGUGCUUCUUACUAUAUUUUGAACAUUUUCCUCUGAAAAUGGAUUUCGUGUAGCUUUUUGAAUUACCUUUCAGGAAGAUUGUAGCAAUGUGACCUUCAUCCAGCAUCUUACCAGCCUUGACUUUUAUCCAAGAGGAGGAAGAGGGAUUCAUACACAUUUCUGAAGGAGUAUGAAUUGAUAUGGCCUCUGUGAAGGGCACUUUGUUGGUUGCUAUCUGAAUUACAAACAAACAAACUCUGUCUCAGCAAGUCAGUUGCUGGUAAUCAAUCCUACAGAUAUAUUUGUACCUGUGCAAACUUUGUAUUUUUUACUAUGGUAUUGAAAAGUGAAAAUUUGGAAACAACCUCAGUGAACACCACAUGGAGCUAGCUAAGUGAUUUAUGGUGGACUGGCUGGCUUUUACACAGCCUUAAAAUGGGGACUGUCUUUAUGAACACAUGUGGAAAAGAAUGCCAAGAUACAUUGUUAAGUGAAAAGGUAUGAAACAGUUUGUAUGGUAUGUUUUUAUUUGUGUAAAGAGGAAGCCAUUGCUUACACACACACACACACACACACACACACACACUCACACACAGAUCAUCUGAAGAGUACAAAGUGACCGUACAUACUAGUCGCUCUUGGGGAGGAGAAGUGGGGAAAGGAUGAGGGAUAAUUUUCAUUAUAUAUCUUGAUAUUUUUUGGAAUUUUGAAACGUUAAAGUAUUACCAGUUCAAGAAAUAAAUUUAAACACAA